Molecule: transfer RNA, 67 nt
Filed under: Daphnia pulex (common water flea)
Lineage: Eukaryota; Metazoa; Arthropoda; Branchiopoda; Diplostraca; Daphniidae
Rfam family: tRNA
About the family: Transfer RNA (tRNA) molecules are approximately 80 nucleotides in length. Their secondary structure includes four short double-helical elements and three loops (D, anti-codon, and T loops).
Source: Rfam by way of RNAcentral
UUCUAUAGUGUAAUGGUUAGCACUUCAGAUUCUGACUCUGACAAACUGAAUUCUAAACUCAGUAGGA